CCGGACCGGCGCACGGGUGAGUAACGCGUAUGCAACUUACCUAUCAGAGGGGAUAACCCGGCGAAAGUCGGACUAAUACCGCAUGAAGCAGGGGCCCCGCAUGGGGAUAUUUGCUAAAGAUUCAUCGCUGAUAGAUAGGCAUGCGUUCCAUUAGGCAGUUGGCGGGGUAACGGCCCACCAAACCGACGAUGGAUAGGGGUUCUGAGAGGAAGGUCCCCCACAUUGGUACUGAGAUACGGACCAA
RNAcentral lists this ribosomal RNA (244 nucleotides) under uncultured bacterium. Its description in RNAcentral is "partial 16S ribosomal RNA". It matches the Rfam family "Bacterial small subunit ribosomal RNA", at positions 90 to 334 of the family's 1533-position model. The record is from RNAcentral.